Molecule: small RNA, 493 nt
Filed under: Pongo abelii (Sumatran orangutan)
Lineage: Eukaryota; Metazoa; Chordata; Mammalia; Primates; Hominidae
Description: retained intron
Source: RNAcentral
CGCUCCAGUGGGCCCAGUGGGCCCCACUCCUACAGUUUUGCCCAUGGGAGCCCCUGUUCCCCGGCCUCGUGGUCCCCCACCGCCCCCUGGAGAGGAGAACAGAGAGAUGGAUGACCCCUCUGUGGGCCCCAAGAUCCCCCAGGCUUUGGAGAAGAUCCUGCAGCUGAAGGAGAGCCGCCAGGAAGAGAUGAAUUCUCAGCAGGAGGAAGAGGAAAUGGAAACAGAUGCUCGCUCGUCCCUGGGCCAGUCAGCGUCAGAGACUGAGGAGGACACAGUGUCUGUAUCUAAAAAGGAGGUAGGGAUUGGAGCUGAGUCUGGAAGGAAAGGCAGGAGAUGGGACUUGGGUACAGAAAUAACACAAUUUGUAAGUGUUCAGUAAGUAAUAGCUUCUGUUUUGUGCCAAUUUCCGCCCUCAGCAUCUUAUAGAUAUUUUUCAUUUAAUUGCUUUGAGUUCCAAGUACUAUGCGUGCCUACAUUUUACAGCUGAAAAAGC